This 76-nucleotide transfer RNA is filed under the name Caudoviricetes sp. RNAcentral's name for it is "tRNA-Met". It matches the Rfam family "tRNA". Rfam says of the family: Transfer RNA (tRNA) molecules are approximately 80 nucleotides in length. Their secondary structure includes four short double-helical elements and three loops (D, anti-codon, and T loops). Lineage: Duplodnaviria; Heunggongvirae; Uroviricota; Caudoviricetes. The record is from RNAcentral.
GGGGUGUUAGCUCAGUAGGCAGAGCAUCUGGCUCAUAACCGGACGGUCACGGGUUCGAUUCCCCUACACCCCACCA